CGCAAGCCUGACGGAGCAACGCCGCGUGAGGGAGGAAUGCCUGUGGGUUGUAAACCUCUUUUAUCAGGGAAGAAGUACUGACGGUACCUGAUGAAUCAGCAUCGGCUAACUCCGUGCCAGCAGCCGCGGUAAGACGGAGGAUGCAAGCGUUAUCCGGAAUUUUUGGGCGUAAAGCGUCCGCAGGUGGCUAUUUAAGUCUGCUGUUAAAGCCCAGGGCUCAACUCUGGAUAGGCAGUGGAAACUGGGUAGCUUGAGUGCGACAGGGGUAGAGGGAAUUCCCAGUGUAGCGGUGAAAUGCGUAGAUAUUGGGAAGAACACCAGUGGCGAAGGCGCUCUACUGGGUCGCAACUGGCACUGAGGGACGAAAGCUAGGGGAGCG
Molecule: ribosomal RNA, 379 nt
Filed under: uncultured cyanobacterium
Lineage: Bacteria; Bacillati; Cyanobacteriota
Description: bacterial SSU rRNA
Rfam family: Bacterial small subunit ribosomal RNA
Source: RNAcentral